Molecule: RNA transcript, 2703 nt
Organism: Pleuronectes platessa (European plaice)
Lineage: Eukaryota; Metazoa; Chordata; Actinopteri; Pleuronectiformes; Pleuronectidae
Gene: nars1
Gene name: asparaginyl-tRNA synthetase 1
Exons: 16
Source: RefSeq, a predicted model, not a curated record
AUAAAGCGCCGCUACGUCACAUCCUGUCGCACACUUUCAGUUCCUCGGCUGAAGCGGAGCAACUGUCCCUGGCUCCCCGGGUUUGUGUCCCUCUUCUCCCGCAACAAACAGCCUCCAGUGCGCCUCCGGCUCGGACUGCGGCUAACAUGGCGGAGCUAACCAAAGACGUGGAGCAGGUUUCCGUGGGUGAGUUGUACGUGUCGGACAAAUGCGGCAGCGACCGGGACGGAGACGGCUCGGAGCAGAAACCCUUCAAAACUCCUCUGGGGGCUCUGAUGUCCGUUGGGAAGGAGCCGUUUCCCACCAUUUAUGUGGACUCGCAAAAAGAGGAUGAGCGUUGGGCGGUGAUCUCAAAGACGCAGAUGAAGAAUGCUAAAAAGGCCCUGAGCCGUGAGCAGCUGAAGAGUGAUGCCAAAGACCAGAAGGAGGCCGUGGACACCGAGAGGAGAGACAAGAACCUGGAAGAAGCCAAGAAGAUCGUCAUCGUGAAAGACCCGAGUCUCCCUGAGCCGGAAGCGGUUAAAAUCCGUGAUCUGGAGUCAAAGAGAGGUCAAAGGGUCAAAGUGUUUGGAUGGAUUCAUCGCCUGAGGAGACAAGGGAAGAACCUGAUGUUCAUUGUGCUGAGAGACGGAUCUGGCUUCCUCCAGUGUGUCCUCAAUGAUAAACUGUGCCAGUGCUACAACGGCCUGGUGCUGUCCACCGAGAGCACGGUGGCUCUGUACGGGACCAUCACCCCCGUUCCUGAGGGCAAACAGGCGCCCGGGGGCCACGAGCUGCACUGUGACUUCUGGGAGCUGAUUGGCUUAGCUCCAGCGGGCGGCGUCGACAACCUGCUGAACGAAGAGUCGGACGUGGACGUCCAGCUGAACAACCGGCACAUGAUGAUCCGAGGAGAGAACGUGUCCAAGAUCCUGCGAGUGCGCUCCACCGUCACGCAGUGCUUCAGGGACCACUUCUUCCACAGCGGCUACCACGAGAUCUUUCCUCCGACCCUGGUGCAGACUCAGGUGGAGGGCGGCUCCACGCUGUUCAACCUGGACUACUUUGGCGAGCAGGCGUUCCUGACUCAGUCCUCCCAGCUCUACCUGGAGACCUGCAUACCGGCCCUGGGAGACAGCUUCUCCAUCGCCCAGUCCUACCGAGCUGAGCAGAGUCGCACCCGCAGGCACUUGUCUGAGUACACUCACAUCGAGGCGGAGUGUCCCUUCAUCUCGUUCGAGGACCUGCUGACCCGGCUGGAGGAGCUGGUGUGUGACGUGGUGGACCGAGUGCUCAAGUCCCCGGCUGGACAGCUGGUCUACGACAUCAACCCGGACUUCAAACCGCCCAAGAGGCCGUUCAGGAGGAUGGACUACACCGACGCCAUCAAGUGGCUCAGAGAGCACGACAUCAAGAAGGACGACGGCACCUACUACGAGUUCGGAGAGGACAUCCCCGAGGCUCCAGAGAGGCUGAUGACGGACGCCAUCAACGAGACCAUCCUGCUCUGUCGCUUCCCCACGGAGAUCAAGUCCUUCUACAUGAUGCGCUGCCCCGAGGACCGGCGCCUCACUGAGUCGGUCGACAUGUUGAUGCCAAACGUGGGUGAGAUUGUCGGAGGCUCGAUGCGUAUCUGGGACUCUGAGGAGCUGCUGGAGGGAUACAAGAGGGAGGGAAUCGACCCCACCCCGUACUACUGGUACACCGACCAGAGGAAGUACGGCACGUGUCCUCACGGCGGCUACGGUCUGGGUCUGGAGCGUUUCCUCACCUGGAUGCUGAACAGACAUCACAUCAGAGACGUCUGCUUGUAUCCUCGCUUCAUCCAGCGCUGCCGCCCCUGAGCGCGCACACACACACACACACACACACACACACACACAUUCUGUGGUUGGAUGUGGCUCGUGCAGCUGAAUCCCAACAAAAAAAAAUCCAUAUAAUGAUCUAUUUCUGCUCAACUUUGCCUCUUCUCAUGAAUCUGACCAUUUCCUGCCUCUGCUGAUGCUCAUUGGCUGAUAUAUGUAUCCUGCUCUAAACACUGUUGUGUCCUGUGAUCGUACAGAGCGUCUGCAAGUCCGAGAAAACAUAGAAAAACGUCCCCGGUGGUCUUCAGUGCUGCUGAAUAAUAGAUUGAAUGUAUAUUUUGUUAAUAUAAUCCGAAGGAAUUUGCAAAAAAGGACUUAAAAAUGUAAUUAACCUGCAGAAUCGUUCAUUUUUAGCUUAAUGUUUGCAAAUUUUGGAAUUUGCAGUAAAAUAAGGAUUUAAAAUACUUCAGCAUGUCACAGUAAACGCCGUCUCUUCAGUAUCUGGUAUUCUUCCUCAUUGUUCUCAAUGACAAUAAAAAAGGGUCUUUAAGGAAACUUUAACUUCAUCAAUCGCACAAAUGAAGAAUCGGCAAGAAGCAGAAAAUAAUGUUCACGAAGAAAACACUGAAUUUGUCUGUUUUGUUGUUGGUGAAUCGUUUCGGUUCAGAUUCACAGAAUAAGGAAGUGAUUCUGUGUCUUAUCAAACAUUUCAAAAUCACAAGAUCAAGAAUAACAAACUGUGCUGUUACACGAUCACUGUGCCAGGCCUCGUGGUUUCACUUUGUCUCAGAUCAAACUUUAAUCACGAGGACGACGACCGCUCAAAUUAAACUCCUGACCUGUGAUCAUUGAGUGAUUGUCUCUGUUCUGCCUCUUCACCUGCAAAAACUCAAUAAACUGCACCUGAAGCUAACACAAA